CCAGACUCCUACGGGAGGCAGCAGUGAGGAAUAUUGGUCAAUGGGCGGGAGCCUGAACCAGCCAAGCCGCGUGAAGGAAGAAGGCGCCAGGCGUCGUAAACUUCUUUUGUCGGGGAACAAAGGGCGCCGCGUGUGGCGUUGUGAGUGUACCCGAAGAAAAAGCAUCGGCUAACUCCGUGCCAGCAGCCGCGGUAAUACGGAGGAUGCGAGCGUUAUCCGGAUUUAUUGGGUUUAAAGGGUGCGUAGGCGGCCCGGAAAGUCCGGGGAAAAAGCCCGGGGCUAAACCCCGGCGAGCCGUUGAAACUGUCGGACUAGAGACGGCGAGUAGUACGCGGAAUGCGCGGUGUAGCGGUGAAAUGCAUAGAUAUCGCGCAGAACUCCGAUUGCGAAGACAGCGUACCGGCGCCGGACUGACGCUGAGGCACGAAAGCGUGGGUAUCGAACAGGAUUAGAUACCCGCGUAAG
This 465-nucleotide ribosomal RNA is filed under the name uncultured bacterium. RNAcentral's name for it is "bacterial SSU rRNA". It matches the Rfam family "Bacterial small subunit ribosomal RNA", at positions 331 to 793 of the family's 1533-position model. The record is from RNAcentral.